This 700-nucleotide small RNA is filed under the name Pan troglodytes (chimpanzee). RNAcentral describes it as "retained intron". Lineage: Eukaryota; Metazoa; Chordata; Mammalia; Primates; Hominidae. The record is from RNAcentral.
CCCUCGGAGCAGCUCCCAGCCCUGCGCUUGGCUGCGGAGCCGAAGUCACCUGGCGGCGGGCCUGCCCCCGGCACCCGGCCCGCACCCGCACCCCACGGCCCGGUGCCAGGGCCCAGCCCCGAGCCCAUCUCCAUGCCUCAGGGUGAGGGCCAGGGCCACCUGAGCCAGAAGAAGACGGUCACCAUCCCCUCAGGCAGCAUCCUCGCAUUCCGGGUGGCCCAGCUGGUUAUUGACUCUGACUUGGGUGAGCUGGAGUUGGGGAUGUCUCGGGCCCAGGCCCUGGCAGAGAAGCAGGGAGGCCUGGGGAGAGCUACCCGCCAGCUUGGGCUGCCGUGGGCCCCUGGCUGAACAACGUCCUGUGGCUGGCAGGUGGCUGAGGUCCUGUGCUCUGCUGUGUGGGUGAUUGGGCAGGGCCUGGGCUGGACAGGGGAGCUCCUAGUAGGGGAGGGGAGGGGAUGCUGGGAUCUAGGUGACAUGCCUGUCCCUGUCUGCUCCCCUCUGGCUGCCAGACGUCCUUCUCUUCCCGGAUAAGAAGCAGAGGACCUUCCAGCCACCCCCGACAGGCCACAAGCGUUCCACGAGCGAAGGUGCCUGGCCGCAGCUGCCCUCUGGUCUCUCCAUGAUGAGGUGCCUCCACAACUUCCUGACAGGUCAGUGCCCUCCUGACCGCCCCAGGGACCUUUGGUGGGCUCUCCUGCCC